RNAcentral lists this ribosomal RNA (879 nucleotides) under uncultured bacterium. Its description in RNAcentral is "bacterial SSU rRNA". It matches the Rfam family "Bacterial small subunit ribosomal RNA", at positions 628 to 1510 of the family's 1533-position model. The record is from RNAcentral.
AAAGACUGGCGCACUGAGGGGCCACAGAGGGACAGGGAACUCCAGGUGUAGUGGUGAAAUGCGUAGAUAUCUGGAAGAACACCAAAGGCGAAGGCACUGUCCUGGGUGGUACCUGACGCUCAGGUGCGAAAGCUAGGGGAGCGAACGGGAUUAGAUACCCCGGUAGUCCUAGCCGUAAACGAUGACCACUAGAUGUGCGGGGUAUCGACCCCCUGCGUGUCGGAGCAAACGCGAUAAGUGGUCCGCCUGGGGAGUACGGUCGCAAGAUUAAAACUCAAAGGAAUUGACGGGGACCCGCACAAGCAGCGGAGCGUGUGGUUUAAUUCGAUGCAACGCGAAGAACCUUACCAGGGCUUGACAUGCUCUUGCACCGCCGAGAGAUCGGCGUCCCUUCGGGGCGGGAGCACAGGUGCUGCAUGGCUGUCGUCAGCUCGUGUCGUGAGAUGUUGGGUUAAGUCCCGCAACGAGCGCAACCCCUAUCGUCGGUUGGAAAUGUCCGGCGAGACUGCCGCGUUGAACGUGGAGGAAGGUGGGGAUGACGUCAAGUCAGCACGGCCCUUACGUCCUGGGCGACACACACGCUACAAUGGCCGGUACAAUGAGACGCCAACCCGCGAGGGGGAGCCAAUCUAGAAAAACCGGUCACGGUUCGGAUUGGAGGCUGCAACCCGCCUCCAUGAAGUGGGAGUUGCUAGUAACCGUGGGUCAGCACACCACGGUGAAUACGUUCCCGGGUCUUGUACACACCGCCCGUCACACCACGAAAGUCGGCAACACCUGAAGCCGCUGGGCUAACUCGCUUCGCAAGGAGAGGGAGGCAGGCGUCGAGGGUGGGGUUGGUGAUUGGGGUGAAGUCGUAACAAGGUACCAAUCCCGCGG